UCUCUUGGAGAUUGCUUGCUAGUGAAGAUUGCCUCAGCUCCUAGUGUCAUCACUGGAUCACAUUUCUGAGUCAAUAGUGGAAGGACGCGGUUCUCAAAGUUGGCAUGGCUUCUUUCACCCAUAUGCUUCUCUCCAGUUUUCUGACUAAAUCUAUGUAUCCGGCCUAGCCAGCAGGAGCAAGAGAGUGCACUGCUAGGAAAACUCAUUUCUGUGCAAAUGGACUCUGGAACCUUAGCGCAAAGAGCUCUUGAAUGUGAGCAUGCGAGUGGGGUUUUGUUUUUUUAAGAGGCUUAUAACUUGAAGACAUGGAGCUGAGUUUUGCAGCUGUUUCUCAAGUCAUCUCUCUGCCAUAAGAUUCUCAGCCACAUUUACAUUCCUGUCCUAUUUCAAAGAAAAGAUCUAAGGAAUUUUUUACGUGGAAAGGAAUUAUUUUUCGAAGAUAUCCAACCUGAGGUGUACAUAGAUUUAACUUUAGCAAUGUUUUAUGAAUAAGACAGUUUCUGGCCUGCAUAUUUUAAUGUUAAUAAACCUUCAUAAUAAAAUACGUUUUAGUGUUCUGGUCUUGUAUAUGAAAGUGGGGUGUUAGUAUAGGUGAAAAUAUAUAUUAAAGCUGAACGUUUCUGUUGUGCGUACACUUCACCAUGCCCUUUUUUUCAUUUGUAAACUGGAAUUUGUUUCUUUUGUGGCAGAUCUCUGUGUAAUUAAAAGGAAAAAAAGAAUGAGGGAGCACUUUUUUUUUAAUCUUAGAAGUGGUUGAAUCUACCUGUCAUGAUCAGUAUGCAGAUGAAUAGAAUUCACUUCAUGGGAAGAUUAAUUGAUUUUAUGAAAUCUCAUUUGUGAAGCUUUAGUACUAAUGAGCUUUUGAUCUUAUUCUUCCAAGUACUACUAACUACAUAUGUGUAUUUUUUCUGUACACAACUAUGGUGUUGCCUUGUUUACAUUUCAGCUUUGGGAACUGUUUGAUUGUGUCUUUAAGAAUAUAUUUCCUAUGUGUGGGAAGUUAGAAAUAUUUGAAAAGAUGCCUUUUAGUAAAUAUUAUGUCAAAUUUUAGGGUGGGAAGGGAAACCUACUGAAGAUAUCUAUCCAUGUGAUUGCAGUUGUAAUGUACUUCUGCUAAACUAUAGGUCAUAGUGAAUGAACAUGUACCUCUGAGAACAGUUGUGCACCCUGAGGAUACCGUGCCCUUUUUAGAUUGCUGGAGGUUAAAAUAGUGAAAAUUCUUUAAUUUCUUAGUUUUUUUGUUAGAGUUUCCUUGAAGUUGUACUACAUAAAUUGAUAACAUCUUUAAAAGAUUUUUUUAAUAACAUUUUACAAUUGAGAUCAUGCUAGUACUGAAAUAUUUCUAAAUUCUCCUUCAUGAUUAUCUGAUAUUGUAACAUCCAAAUUCAGAUUCUUCUUAAUGUGAGCGUGCAGUACAAGAGUGGGGGAGAAACUACCCCUGAAACAUCUUUCUUGUAUCUGGUGUUUACCUUUGUUUCUCCUUUUGAAAUUAGAAUUGAUGUAUAUAGAAUAAUUUUUUCCAGUGCAGCUGUUACUCAGUUUGAAAGAUGACAAACAGGGAGACAGUGCUCUCAUCUGUGGAACAAAGGUUGACAAAAGUCAUUCUGCAUAUCAAGAUUUUAAAAUUCUGCCUCUGAAGUGAGAAGUGCACUUAAGAAUAAAAAAUAAAAAUAUAGUAAACAAAAAUAAGAAGGAAAAAAAACAAAAAGGAAAAAAGAGAAGAGGCAUUUGAACCAGUACCGUGUUAAUAUAGUAGAACAAUCUCCUAAAGCUCUUGUCAUCUGUGACAAGGACAUCAAUAAUAGUCAUUGUCAACAUUCGUUAAGCUCAGAUUUUCCAGAUUUAUGUGUCUCAGAAUGAUUUUCAUUGAUAUAUUUUCCCUGGAAAAAGAACAGACCCUAAAUUAAACAUGUAUAUAAUGCUUGUUUUCCUUCCUCA
This is a non-coding RNA of Coturnix japonica (Japanese quail), 1938 nucleotides long. The record is from RefSeq and is a predicted model, not a curated record. Lineage: Eukaryota; Metazoa; Chordata; Aves; Galliformes; Phasianidae.